Molecule: ribosomal RNA, 496 nt
Filed under: uncultured bacterium
Lineage: Bacteria
Description: partial 16S ribosomal RNA
Rfam family: Bacterial small subunit ribosomal RNA
Source: RNAcentral
UGGGGAAUUUUGGACAAUGGGCGAAAGCCUGAUCCAGCAAUGCCGCGUGUGUGAAGAAGGCCUUCGGGUUGUAAAGCACUUUUGUCCGGAAAGAAAUCCUUGGCUCUAAUACAGUCGGGGGAUGACGGUACCGGAAGAAUAAGCACCGGCUAACUACGUGCCAGCAGCCGCGGUAAUGACGUAGGGUGCAAGCGUUAUCGGAAUUACUGGGCGUAAAGCGUGCGCAGGCGGUUUGCUAAGACCGAUGUGAAAUCCCCGGGUCGUCAACCUGGGAACUGCAUUGGUGACUGGCAGGCUAGAGUAUGGCAGAGGGGGGUAGAAUUCCACGUGUAGCAGUGAAAUGCGUAGAGAUGGUGGAGGAAUACCGAUGGCGAAGGCAGCCCCCUGGGCCAAGUACUGACGCUCAUGCACGAAAGCGUGGGGGAGCAAACAGGAUUAGAUACCCCUGGUAGUCCACGCCCUAAAGCGAUGUCAACUAGUUGUUGGGGAUUCAUUU